GAAACAUUAUUUUAUCACCAGCUAUUAGACCGCCAUGUCCCUAUCAAUUGGUUCCAAACACAGGAACAUUUGGACAUUAAGUUAGGAGUGCUCAGGGCCACCCCCUUCCACAAUGGACCCUUUGCUCUGGAUGCUAACCUCAGGUGACAGUGUUCAGGACGAGCUACCCCAAAAUAUGGCACUUUGGCAUAUUGAAUAUUUCAAGCUGAAAGAAUUUGAGAAACAACAGGCACAAGAAGGAUUUUCUGACCUUCUCCUGAAGCAAGUCUUAAGCCCUUCAAGUGAGAGGUGCCCUCCCUACACCCGGAAGAAAGGAAUAUCCUUAUCUCCAAAGACAGAGGGGCACCAAGAGC
This 353-nucleotide long non-coding RNA is filed under the name Equus caballus (horse). RNAcentral's name for it is "lncRNA (ENSECAG00000058213.1)". Lineage: Eukaryota; Metazoa; Chordata; Mammalia; Perissodactyla; Equidae. The record is from RNAcentral.